GAUGAACGCUAGCGGCAGGCCUAAUACAUGCAAGUCGAGGGGCAGCAUGACUGUAGCAAUACAGUUGAUGGCGACCGGCAAACGGGUGCGGAACACGUACAGAACCUUCCUUCGAGCGGGGAAUAGCCCAGAGAAAUUUGGAUUAAUACCCCAUAGUAUAUUUGAAAGGCAUCUUUUAAAUAUUAAAGAUCUAUCACUUGAAGAUGGCUGUGCGGCUGAUUAGGUAGUUGGCGGGGUAACGGCCCACCAAGCCUGCGAUCAGUAACUGGUGUGAGAGCACGACCAGUCACACGGGCACUGGGACACGGGCCCGACUCCUACGGGAGGCAGCAGUAAGGAAUAUUGGUCAAUGGACGAAAGUCUGAACCAGCCAUGCCGCGUGGAGGAUGAAGGCCCUCUGGAUUGUAAACUUCUUUUAUAUGGGACGAAAAAAGGCUUUUCUAAGUCGUCUGACGGUACCAUAUGAAUAAGCACCGGCUAACUCCGUGCCAGCCGCCGCAGUAA
Molecule: ribosomal RNA, 504 nt
Filed under: uncultured bacterium
Lineage: Bacteria
Description: partial 16S ribosomal RNA
Rfam family: Bacterial small subunit ribosomal RNA
Source: RNAcentral